Molecule: non-coding RNA, 66 nt
Organism: Araneus ventricosus
Lineage: Eukaryota; Metazoa; Arthropoda; Arachnida; Araneae; Araneidae
Source: the annotation of a GenBank genome assembly
CUAGAGAGCGUGGUUUCGAUCCACGGACCUCUGGGUUAUAGCACGCUCCCAAUGCGCCACUCUGCU